GAUGAAGAACGUAGCGAAAUGCGAUAAGUAAUGUGAAUUGCAGAAUUCAGUGAAUCAUCGAAUCUUUGAACGCACAUUGCGCCCGCCAGUAUUCUGGCGGGCAUGCCUGUCCGAGCGUCAUUUCAACCAUCAAGCCCCCGGCUUGUGUUGGGGACCUGCGGCUGCCGCAGGCCCUGAAAACCAGUGGCGGGCUCGCUGUCACACCGAGCGUAGUAGAUUUUCAUCUCGCUCAGGGCGUGCUGCGGGUUCCGGCCGUAAAAAGCCUUAUUUACCCAAGGUUGACCUCGGAUCAGGUAGGAAGACCCGCUGAACUUAAGCAUAUCAAUAAGCGGAGGA
RNAcentral lists this unclassified non-coding RNA (336 nucleotides) under soil metagenome. RNAcentral describes it as "partial contains 5.8S ribosomal RNA, internal transcribed spacer 2, and large subunit ribosomal RNA". The stretch from base 1 to 120 matches the Rfam family "5.8S ribosomal RNA", at positions 35 to 154 of the family's 154-position model. The record is from RNAcentral.